This is a long non-coding RNA of Capsicum annuum, 874 nucleotides long. RefSeq lists it as uncharacterized. The transcript has 3 exons. NCBI's taxonomy places the organism in Eukaryota, Viridiplantae, Streptophyta, Magnoliopsida, Solanales, Solanaceae. The record is from RefSeq and is a predicted model, not a curated record.
UGUUGUUUCCCACAUUAAGUUUAUUUUUAAAGAUCAAAUGACGCCAUUUCCCCCACUUUCAGAAAAAGGUCAAAUUGAAUUAAAUUAAAAAAUUAUCACUAUCAAGUUUCAACAUUGUUUCACUCUCUUCUUCCUUCAAUUCUUGAAAUACCCGAUAGCCAAUUAUUUUUACCAAUUUAAAAAAGGCUUUCAAAGUGUUCUUCAUUCUCAUUUGCACUAAAUCUUCAAGGUGGAGGUGAAGUAUUUUCAACUACGAGAUUCAAAAGUUGGCAUAAAAAGAAGAGUCUUGGAAAACAUAUUGGUCUACCAAAUAGCAUACACAAUCAAUCAAAGAAGAAAUGCCAAGAUUUAUUAUGCCAACGACAAUUGAUUCAAUUUGAAUUUGAUAGGCAAUCGAAUCAAAUUAAAAAGGGAUAUUUCAUUCACUUAACUGCUUCGGUUGAUGUAGUAAGACUUCUCAUAACUCAGGAAUUUGCAUUUCGAGGUCACGAUGAAUCUAAAUCAUCACGUAGUAGAGGAAAUAUGGAUGAAAGAGCCAAGGCAAUGGAAAAUCUUGAAGCUUGUCGAACAUUUGAGGUUGCUUUCAUGUUGCACUUGAUGAGAUAUAUUUUGGCUAUUACAAAUGAACUUAAUAAGUGCUUACAAAAAAAGGGAGCAAGACAUUGCAAAUGCUAUGCUACUUGUUGAAGUAGCAAAGAGAAGGUUGCAAUUUUUAAGGGAUAAUGAAUGGUAUUCUCUUAUAUAUUGAUAAGGUGUCUAUAUUUUGUACCCAAUAUGAUAUUUGAUGCAUAACUUUGAAGAACCAUAUGUUAGCUCUUUAAGAUCCUGAUGUAAACUUGCUAGCUAUACAGUCUUACAUCAUUACCGUGUUGAA